UGGUGUUACUGCGAAGGGGGGACGGAGAAGGCUAUGUUAGCCGGGCGACGGUUGUCCCGGUUUAAGCAUGUAGGCUGGUUAUCCAGGCAAAUCCGGAUAAUCAAGGCUGAGGUGUGAUGACGAGGCACUACGGUGCUGAAGUAACAAAUGCCCUGCUUCCAGGAAAAGCCUCUAAGCAUCAGGUAACAUCAAAUCGUACCCCAAACCGACACAGGUGGUCAGGUAGAGAAUACCAAGGCGCUUGAGAGAACUCGGGUGAAGGAACUAGGCAAAAUGGUGCCGUAACUUCGGGAGAAGGCACGCUGGUGUGUAGGUGAAGUCCCUGCGGAUGGAGCUGAGACCAGUCGAAGAUACCAGCUGGCUGCAACUGUUUAUUAAAAACACAGCACUGUGCAAACACGAAAGUGGACGUAUACGGUGUGACGCCUGCCCGGUGCCGGAAGGUUAAUUGAUGGGGUUAUCCGUAAGGAGAAGCUCUUGAUCGAAGCCCCGGUAAACGGCGGCCGUAACUAUAACGGUCCUAAGGUAGCGAAAUUCCUUGUCGGGUAAGUUCCGACCUGCACGAAUGGCGUAAUGAUGGCCAGGCUGUCUCCACCCGAGACUCAGUGAAAUUGAACUCGCUGUGAAGAUGCAGUGUACCCGCGGCAAGACGGAAAGACCCCGUGAACCUUUACUAUAGCUUGACACUGAACAUUGAGCCUUGAUGUGUAGGAUAGGUGGGAGGCUUUGAAGCGUGGACGCCAGUCUGCGUGGAGCCAACCUUGAAAUACCACCCUUUAAUGUUUGAUGUUCUAACGUUGGCCCCUGACCGGGGUUGCGGACAGUGUCUGGUGGGUAGUUUGACUGGGGCGGUCUCCUCCCAAAGCGUAACGGAGGAGCACGAAGGUUAGCUAAUCCUGGUCGGACAUCAGGAGGUUAGUGCAAUGGCAUAAGCUAGCUUGACUGCGAGCGUGACGGCGCGAGCAGGUGCGAAAGCAGGUCAUAGUGAUCCGGUGGUUCUGAAUGGAAGGGCCAUCGCUCAACGGAUAAAAGGUACUCCGGGGAUAACAGGCUGAUACCGCCCAAGAGUUCAUAUCGACGGCGGUGUUUGGCACCUCGAUGUCGGCUCAUCACAUCCUGGGGCUGAAGUAGGUCCCAAGGGUAUGGCUGUUCGCCAUUUAAAGUGGUACGCGAGCUGGGUUUAGAACGUCGUGAGACAGUUCGGUCCCUAUCUGCCGUGGGCGCUGGAGAAUUGAGGGGGGCUGCUCCUAGUACGAGAGGACCGGAGUGGACGCAUCACUGGUGUUCGGGUUGUCAUGCCAAUGGCACUGCCCGGUAGCUAAAUGCGGAAGAGAUAAGUGCUGAAAGCAUCUAAGCACGAAACUUGCCCCGAGAUGAGUUCUCCCUGAGACU
Molecule: ribosomal RNA, 1392 nt
Filed under: Klebsiella pneumoniae
Lineage: Bacteria; Pseudomonadati; Pseudomonadota; Gammaproteobacteria; Enterobacterales; Enterobacteriaceae
Description: partial 23S ribosomal RNA
Rfam family: Bacterial large subunit ribosomal RNA
Source: RNAcentral